This is a long non-coding RNA of Mauremys reevesii (Reeves's turtle), 1053 nucleotides long. RefSeq lists it as uncharacterized. NCBI's taxonomy places the organism in Eukaryota, Metazoa, Chordata, Testudines, Geoemydidae. The transcript has 5 exons. The record is from RefSeq and is a predicted model, not a curated record.
UUGCUGCUUGGAACCUGAGCAAUGAACCUGAGUCUAGUGGGCUGAAGGGCUGAAUCAACAACUCAUUUCUGGCAGGGUGCCAGAACAGACAAAAGUGGGCACAAAGUCUCCCAUGAGGAAGCCGUGGGGGAAUGGCCGCCUACCAGGGCCAGGAGUGCUUAAAGACUCUGGUAGACUAGCACCCUGGAAGGGGUCUGAGUUAUGUUUCAUAGAAAUUGUGUGUGAUUUGGCUGGAAGACUGAGUCACUAGAAACUGCCAGAUAGGGUUACCCUAGACUGAAAGAGGUGCAGACACAUGCCCAAACAAGUGUGUGCUCAUGAGAAGUAGGUACCAUUCCCUUCCAGAGUCACACAAACUUUAGUCAGUUGACCCAGACUCAUUGCUGUGGGUUUUGUGUUUUUUGCAGUGUAGGCGUAACUUCAGACACUCGGGGAUUAGGAACCAAGCUCUUCACAGAAAUGACCUUUUGCCUUGUGAGGAAUGGUGGGAUGAGCCUGGACUGUUUUGUGUGCUGCAGGAUUAUUGUUUGCCUUUUCCUUUGUGUUGGAUUUCAUUCAUGCCCAGUAGGUGGGAAAACCUCCUUAAGAUGUACAGAUGGGAGCCUUCACCCAGCACUCCAAACUACCACUGCAGCAACACCUACAGCCAUAGUGGGAUGUCUGGGGCAAGUGAGGUGCCCACCUGCACCUCAAGGGGGUGCCCUAGAGACAUAACCUGAGGACAUUUUUGAGACGUGAUAGAUCGAUCCCCAAAUGCGCUCCCAUCGGCUUUGGAACUCCACCAGGGUGAGUGGCGGUAGUGGAGUAGAUGGGGAGAGCCGCGGCCGUCGAUCCUGCACUGUGAGGAUGGGAGACCUGCACUAUCAGGGACUUCCAGCUGGCUACCAUGGCCCCCAGGACCUCUGAAGAUGGCUAUGUGGAAAAGGCAGUGGACUUCCUGAGCCCAAUUCUGAUCUCAGUGACACUGUAUUUAUAUCACUGCACCUCCAUUGACUUCAGUGGAGUUACUCCUGAUUUAAACCAGUGCAGGACCUGGGCAAUAAAUAAAUCAUG